RNAcentral lists this small RNA (130 nucleotides) under bovine gut metagenome. RNAcentral describes it as "Ribosomal protein L10 leader". It matches the Rfam family "Ribosomal protein L10 leader". Rfam says of the family: This family is a putative r-protein leader autoregulatory structure found in B. subtilis and other low-GC Gram-positive bacteria. It is located in the 5' untranslated regions of mRNAs encoding ribosomal proteins L10 and L12 (rplJ-rplL). A Rho-independent transcription terminator structure that is probably involved in regulation is included at the 3' end. The record is from RNAcentral.
UAUAAUAUCCGCUUGCCGAAGACAGCAGGUGCAGAAUUGCGUAAAGAAGAUUAUUUCUGCCUGCCGAGGAAAGGAACUUAUUUAAAGUUUACAGACCUUUUCUGUCUUCGCAGAAGAGGUCUUUUUAUCU